Molecule: ribosomal RNA, 1104 nt
Filed under: Lactiplantibacillus plantarum
Lineage: Bacteria; Bacillati; Bacillota; Bacilli; Lactobacillales; Lactobacillaceae
Description: bacterial SSU rRNA
Rfam family: Bacterial small subunit ribosomal RNA
Source: RNAcentral
GGUGCUUGCAUCAUGAUUUACAUUUGAGUGAGUGGCGAACUGGUGAGUAACACGUGGGAAACCUGCCCAGAAGCGGGGGAUAACACCUGGAAACAGAUGCUAAUACCGCAUAACAACUUGGACCGCAUGGUCCGAGCUUGAAAGAUGGCUUCGGCUAUCACUUUUGGAUGGUCCCGCGGCGUAUUAGCUAGAUGGUGGGGUAACGGCUCACCAUGGCAAUGAUACGUAGCCGACCUGAGAGGGUAAUCGGCCACAUUGGGACUGAGACACGGCCCAAACUCCUACGGGAGGCAGCAGUAGGGAAUCUUCCACAAUGGACGAAAGUCUGAUGGAGCAACGCCGCGUGAGUGAAGAAGGGUUUCGGCUCGUAAAACUCUGUUGUUAAAGAAGAACAUAUCUGAGAGUAACUGUUCAGGUAUUGACGGUAUUUAACCAGAAAGCCACGGCUAACUACGUGCCAGCAGCCGCGGUAAUACGUAGGUGGCAAGCGUUGUCCGGAUUUAUUGGGCGUAAAGCGAGCGCAGGCGGUUUUUUAAGUCUGAUGUGAAAGCCUUCGGCUCAACCGAAGAAGUGCAUCGGAAACUGGGAAACUUGAGUGCAGAAGAGGACAGUGGAACUCCAUGUGUAGCGGUGAAAUGCGUAGAUAUAUGGAAGAACACCAGUGGCGAAGGCGGCUGUCUGGUCUGUAACUGACGCUGAGGCUCGAAAGUAUGGGUAGCAAACAGGAUUAGAUACCCUGGUAGUCCAUACCGUAAACGAUGAAUGCUAAGUGUUGGAGGGUUUCCGCCCUUCAGUGCUGCAGCUAACGCAUUAAGCAUUCCGCCUGGGGAGUACGGCCGCAAGGCUGAAACUCAAAGGAAUUGACGGGGGCCCGCACAAGCGGUGGAGCAUGUGGUUUAAUUCGAAGCUACGCGAAGAACCUUACCAGGUCUUGACAUACUAUGCAAAUCUAAGAGAUUAGACGUUCCCUUCGGGGACAUGGAUACAGGUGGUGCAUGGUUGUCGUCAGCUCGUGUCGUGAGAUGUUGGGUUAAGUCCCGCAACGAGCGCAACCCUUAUUAUCAGUUGCCAGCAUUAAGUUGGGCACUCUGGUGAGACUGCCGG